This 21-nucleotide microRNA is filed under the name Citrus sinensis (sweet orange). RNAcentral describes it as "csi-miR530b-5p". Its record names the gene csi-miR530b-5p. Lineage: Eukaryota; Viridiplantae; Streptophyta; Magnoliopsida; Sapindales; Rutaceae. The record is from miRBase by way of RNAcentral.
UGCAUUUGCACCUGCAUCUUG